UACGUAGGGUGCGAGCGUUGUCCGGAAUUAUUGGGCGUAAAGGGCUCGUAGGCGGUUUGUCGCGUCGGGAGUGAAAUCCACUGGCUUAACUGGUGGCUUGCUUUCGAUACGGGCAGACUGGAGGUAUGCAGGGGAGAACGGAAUUCCUGGUGUAGCGGUGAAAUGCGCAGAUAUCAGGAGGAACGCCAGAAGCGAAGGCAGCUCUCUGGGUCCCUACCGACGCUGGGGUGCGAAAGCAUGGGGAGCGAACAGG
RNAcentral lists this ribosomal RNA (253 nucleotides) under uncultured bacterium. RNAcentral describes it as "partial 16S ribosomal RNA". It matches the Rfam family "Bacterial small subunit ribosomal RNA", at positions 524 to 776 of the family's 1533-position model. The record is from RNAcentral.